GUACGGGGGUGCAAGCGUUGUCCGGAAUCAUUGGGCGUAAAGAGUUCGUAGGUGGUAUGUUAAGUCUGGUGUUAAAGGCGGAAGCUCAACUUCCGUAGGGCACUGGAUACUGGCAAACUUGAAUGCGGUAGAGGUAAAGGGAAUUCCUGGUGUAGCGGUGAAAUGCGUAGAUAUCAGGAGGAACAUCGGUGGCGUAAGCGCUUUACUGGGCCGUAAUUGACACUGAGGAACGAAAAGCCGGGGUAGCAAAUGGGAUUAGAUACCCGUGUAGU
RNAcentral lists this ribosomal RNA (272 nucleotides) under uncultured bacterium. RNAcentral describes it as "partial 16S ribosomal RNA". It matches the Rfam family "Bacterial small subunit ribosomal RNA", at positions 523 to 794 of the family's 1533-position model. The record is from RNAcentral.